GAUCAUGGCUCAGGAUGAACGCUGGCGGCGUGCCUAAUACAUGCAAGUCGAACGAGCGAGAUCCAGCUUGCUGGAUUAGCGAGUGGCGAACGGGUGAGUAAUACGUAAGCAACCUGCCUACACGGACUGGGAUAACACCUGGAAACGGGCGCUAAUACCGGAUAGGUAACGAGAGGGCAUCCUCUUGUUAUUAAAGGUUUGAAACACAAGUAGAUGGGCUUACGGUGCAUUAGCUAGUUGGUGAGGUAACGGCCCACCAAGGCGAUGAUGCAUAGCCGGCCUGAGAGGGUGAACGGCCACAUUGGGACUGAGACACGGCCCAGACUCCUACGGGAGGCAGCAGUAGGGAAUUUUCGGCAAUGGGCGCAAGCCUGACCGAGCAACGCCGCGUGAAGUGAUGAAGGUUUUCGGAUCGUAAAGCUCUGUUGUAAGGGAAGAAUGGCGCGGAUAGACUCCGCGAUUGACGGUACCUUACCAGAAAGCCACGGCUAACUACGUGCCAGCAGCCGC
RNAcentral lists this ribosomal RNA (510 nucleotides) under uncultured bacterium. RNAcentral's name for it is "bacterial SSU rRNA". It matches the Rfam family "Bacterial small subunit ribosomal RNA", at positions 15 to 518 of the family's 1533-position model. The record is from RNAcentral.